This 461-nucleotide long non-coding RNA is filed under the name Astyanax mexicanus (Mexican tetra). Its description in RNAcentral is "lncRNA (ENSAMXG00005022425.1)". The record is from RNAcentral. Lineage: Eukaryota; Metazoa; Chordata; Actinopteri; Characiformes; Acestrorhamphidae.
GUUUUACUUUCCAAGAUGUACGAAAGAAUUGAUGUUUGGUUAUUGUCAUAGUAUUUUUAGUUAUUUUGUACAAUAAGGGUUUUAGAAUAUUUUUUUUCUCUGAAUAUGAAUAAAAACAUAAUUUAAGUGAGCCUGACAAUAAACAAAAUGGCAAUUUUUUUUCUUUGUUUGUAGACAAUGAGUGACUACAUAUCCUGGAAACUUGCUGAAGUAUGCCAGUGGCUAGAGAGAAACAAUUUGGGAGAAUUCUAAUGUUUUUAUGGAGCAUGAGAUUGACGGAGCAACUUUAGGCGUUUUCACAGAGCGAAUGGCAGAGAGACUAAUACCUAUAAUUAAGAAGCAGGCCGUUUUUAUGUCUCUUCUGGAAAAAAUUAAAACAAGUGAAGCACACAGAUUGGCCACACCCACCCUUUGAAUCGCCUGCUGGAGUGGCGUGGGACACUGUCAGCAGCAGCAGCAGC